AGAUGAUGGUUUUAUUUUAUUUUAUUUAUUAUUAACUUAUUUCAUAAAUUACUAAAUUAACCUUGGCUUAAAGCAUUAAAUAUCAUAUAAUAUAUGCCCAUAAUUGUCCACCCACCAUUAUAAAGGUCUAAUUGCAACAUAAGGACCUUUUCUUUAAGGUUCUAUAGCUAUUAGAUACUUCUAGCUAAUAGAACUCCACUUUUACACUUUACUCAAUUUAG
Molecule: long non-coding RNA, 221 nt
Filed under: Gossypium barbadense (sea-island cotton)
Lineage: Eukaryota; Viridiplantae; Streptophyta; Magnoliopsida; Malvales; Malvaceae
Description: long non-coding RNA (GBAR_LNC001506)
Source: RNAcentral